CUACGGGGGGCUGCAGUGAGGAAUAUUGGUCAAUGGGCGAAAGCCUGAACCAGCCAUGCCGCGUGAAGGAUGACGGCCCUAUGGGUUGUAAACUUCUUUUAUACGGGAAGAAACACCUCUACGUGUAGAGGUUUGACGGUACCGUACGAAUAAGCAUCGGCUAACUCCGUGCCAGCAGCCGCGGUAAUACGGAGGAUGCAAGCGUUAUCCGGAUUUAUUGGGUUUAAAGGGUACGUAGGCGGAAACUUAAGUCAGUAGUGAAAUCCCGCAGCUUAACUGUGGAACUGUUAUUGAUACUGGGUUUCUUGAAUAUUGUUGAGGUAGGCGGAAUAAGUAAUGUAGCGGUGAAAUGCUUAGAUAUUACUUAGAACACCGAUUGCGAAGGCAGCUUACUAAGCAAUUAUUGACGCUGAGGUACGAAAGCGUGGGGAGCGAACAGGAUUAGAUACCCCCGUAGUC
RNAcentral lists this ribosomal RNA (459 nucleotides) under uncultured bacterium. RNAcentral describes it as "partial 16S ribosomal RNA". It matches the Rfam family "Bacterial small subunit ribosomal RNA", at positions 339 to 795 of the family's 1533-position model. The record is from RNAcentral.